Molecule: ribosomal RNA, 254 nt
Filed under: uncultured bacterium
Lineage: Bacteria
Description: partial 16S ribosomal RNA
Rfam family: Bacterial small subunit ribosomal RNA
Source: RNAcentral
UACGUAGGGACCAAGCGUUGUUCGGAUUUACUGGGCGUAAAGGGCGCGUAGGCGGCAAUUCAAGUCAUCUGUGAAAUCUCCGGGCUUAACCCGGAACGGUCAGAUGAUACUGCUUUGCUAGAGUGCGGAAGGGGCAAUCGGAAUUCCCGGUGUAGCGGUGAAAUGCGUAGAUAUCGAGAGGAACACCUGAGGUGAAGACGGGUUGCUGGGCCGACACUGACGCUGACAGCGCGAAAGCCAGGGGAGCAAACGGG